UUAAGCGACUAAGCGUACACGGUGGAUGCCCUGGCAGUCAGAGGCGAUGAAGGGCGUGCUAAUCUGCGAUAAGCGCCGGUAAGGUGAUAUGAACCGUUAUAACCGGCGAUACCCGAAUGGGGAAACCCAGUGUGACUCGUCACACUAUCAUUAACUGAAUCCAUAGGUUAAUGAGGCGAACCGGGGGAACUGAAACAUCUAAGUACCCCGAGGAAAAGAAAUCAACCGAGAUUCCCCCAGUAGCGGCGAGCGAACGGGGAGGAGCCCAGAGCCUGAAUCAGCAUGUGUGUUAGUGGAAGCGUCUGGAAAGGCGCGCGAUACAGGGUGACAGCCCCGUACACAAAAGCGCACAUGCUGUGAGCUCGAUGAGUAGGGCGGGACACGUGGUAUCCUGUCUGAAUAUGGGGGGACCAUCCUCCAAGGCUAAAUACUCCUGACUGACCGAUAGUGAACCAGUACCGUGAGGGAAAGGCGAAAAGAACCCCGGCGAGGGGAGUGAAAAAGAACCUGAAACCGUGUACGUACAAGCAGUGGGAGCCCCACCACUAAGCCAGUGGUGAACUCCACAUACGCAUCCUUUGCUGAGGAUACGGUUAACGGAGCGAAAGCGACGUUCAACCUCAAAAGAAGCAGAGGGGGCUUAGUGGUGGGGUGACUGCGUACCUUUUGUAUAAUGGGUCAGCGACUUAUAUUCUGUAGCAAGGUUAACCGUAUAGGGGAGCCGGAGGGAAACCGAGUCUUAAUUGGGCGUUAAGUUGCAGGGUAUAGACCCGAAACCCGGUGAUCUAGCCAUGGGCAGGUUGAAGGUUGGGUAACACUAACUGGAGGACCGAACCGACUAAUGUUGAAAAAUUAGCGGAUGACCUGUGGCUGGGGGUGAAAGGCCAAUCAAACCGGGAGAUAGCUGGUUCUCCCCGAAAGCUAUUUAGGUAGCGCCUCGUGAAUUCAUCUCCGGGGGUAGAGCACUGUUUCGGCUAGGGGGCCAUCCCGGCUUACCAACCCGAUGCAAACUGCGAAUACCGGAGAAUGUUAUCACGGGAGACACACGGCGGGUGCUAACGUCCGUCGUGAAGAGGGAAACAACCCAGACCGCCAGCUAAGGUCCCAAAGUCAUGGUUAAGUGGGAAACGAUGUGGGAAGGCCCAGACAGCCAGGAUGUUGGCUUAGAAGCAGCCAUCAUUUAAAGAAAGCGUAAUAGCUCACUGGUCGAGUCGGCCUGCGCGGAAGAUGUAACGGGGCUAAACCAUGCACCGAAGCUGCGGCAGCGAACGUAUCACUUAAAGCGAUUCAGCGGAUGACGAUUGACGGAGCGAAGCGACGUCAAAGCGUAUACAAAGUCGAGUCGGUUUAAGGAUACGUUCGUUGGGUAGGGGAGCGUUCUGUAAGCCUGCGAAGGUGGCCUGUGAGGGUUGCUGGAGGUAUCAGAAGUGCGAAUGCUGACAUAAGUAACGAUAAAGCGGGUGAAAAGCCCGCUCGCCGGAAGACCAAGGGUUCCUGUCCAACGUUAAUCGGGGCAGGGUGAGUCGACCCCUAAGGCGAGGCCGAAAGGCGUAGUCGAUGGGAAACGGGUUAAUAUUCCCGUACUUGGUGUUACUGCGAAGGGGGGACGGAGAAGGCUAUGUUGGCCGGGCGACGGUUGUCCCGGUUUAAGCGUGUAGGUGUGUGUUCCAGGUAAAUCCGGUUCACUUUAACACUGAGGCGUGACGACGAGGCACUACGGUGCUGAAGCAACAAAUGCCCUGCUUCCAGGAAAAGCCUCUAAGCAUCAGGUAACAUCAAAUCGUACCCCAAACCGACACAGGUGGUCAGGUAGAGAAUACCAAGGCGCUUGAGAGAACUCGGGUGAAGGAACUAGGCAAAAUGGUGCCGUAACUUCGGGAGAAGGCACGCUGACACGUAGGUGAAGUGAUUUACUCAUGGAGCUGAAGUCAGUCGAAGAUACCAGCUGGCUGCAACUGUUUAUUAAAAACACAGCACUGUGCAAACACGAAAGUGGACGUAUACGGUGUGACGCCUGCCCGGUGCCGGAAGGUUAAUUGAUGGGGUCAGCGCAAGCGAAGCUCCUGAUCGAAGCCCCGGUAAACGGCGGCCGUAACUAUAACGGUCCUAAGGUAGCGAAAUUCCUUGUCGGGUAAGUUCCGACCUGCACGAAUGGCGUAAUGAUGGCCAGGCUGUCUCCACCCGAGACUCAGUGAAAUUGAACUCGCUGUGAAGAUGCAGUGUACCCGCGGCAAGACGGAAAGACCCCGUGAACCUUUACUAUAGCUUGACACUGAACAUUGAGCCUUGAUGUGUAGGAUAGGUGGGAGGCUUUGAAGUGUGGACGCCAGUCUGCAUGGAGCCGACCUUGAAAUACCACCCUUUAAUGUUUGAUGUUCUAACGUGGACCCGUGAUCCGGGUUGCGGACAGUGUCUGGUGGGUAGUUUGACUGGGGCGGUCUCCUCCUAAAGAGUAACGGAGGAGCACGAAGGUUGGCUAAUCCUGGUCGGACAUCAGGAGGUUAGUGCAAUGGCAUAAGCCAGCUUGACUGCGAGCGUGACGGCGCGAGCAGGUGCGAAAGCAGGUCAUAGUGAUCCGGUGGUUCUGAAUGGAAGGGCCAUCGCUCAACGGAUAAAAGGUACUCCGGGGAUAACAGGCUGAUACCGCCCAAGAGUUCAUAUCGACGGCGGUGUUUGGCACCUCGAUGUCGGCUCAUCACAUCCUGGGGCUGAAGUAGGUCCCAAGGGUAUGGCUGUUCGCCAUUUAAAGUGGUACGCGAGCUGGGUUUAGAACGUCGUGAGACAGUUCGGUCCCUAUCUGCCGUGGGCGCUGGAGAACUGAGGGGGGCUGCUCCUAGUACGAGAGGACCGGAGUGGACGCAUCACUGGUGUUCGGGUUGUCAUGCCAAUGGCACUGCCCGGUAGCUAAAUGCGGAAGAGAUAAGUGCUGAAAGCAUCUAAGCACGAAACUUGCCCCGAGAUGAGUUCUCCCUGAGACUUUAGGUCUCCUGAAGGAACGUUGAAGACGACGACGUUGAUAGGCCGGGUGUGUAAGCGCAGCGAUGCGUUGAGCUAACCGGUACUAAUGAACCGUGAGGCUUAACCUU
This 3086-nucleotide ribosomal RNA is filed under the name Salmonella enterica subsp. enterica. Its description in RNAcentral is "bacterial LSU rRNA". It matches the Rfam family "Bacterial large subunit ribosomal RNA". Lineage: Bacteria; Pseudomonadati; Pseudomonadota; Gammaproteobacteria; Enterobacterales; Enterobacteriaceae. The record is from RNAcentral.